UGUCAACCACCAGAACCACAGUCACUUCAAAAUUCAUGGAAAGUUAUCAAAAAAACUAAAACGCGUCAUCUACUGUCAGUAAUAUUACAAGUUAAUGGCAAUCCUGGACAACCAGUCUCACCGAAGGAAGUUGACAUGCAGAGGCCUUGUUGUACUGUUCCUCUUGAUGGUGGAGAGAUCUUACGCUGUGGCAACGGGCAAGAGAAGCUAAAACCGAUCUAAGCUGUUUCUGUCAUGGUCUUCAUCCCAAGAUUAGGAAGCAAGAUACUCGAGUUGCUUUCUCAGCAUCUCCAUCUCCUGUCAACCCAAGGACGGGAAGAUCACACUAUGCACACCCUCUCACCAGCACCAACAGAGUGCGGGCCAAGCUUCUGUGGGCCUUCUGCACACCAGAGAAACUGAACCACGGAUGUGUUUUGUUAAUUCUGUUUACUCAAGUAUUCUACCUAGCGUGGACAACCCGACACACCUGGGAGGUUCUCUCUCUUUCUUCAUACAUUUCUUCCAGUUUUGACCGCAGCUGCUCCUUUUCCUGAAAUGCUCUAGACUCCAAAGUUCUGGUUCGCUCAAUCUCCUCACCCAUUCUGUGGCAGACCUUCUCCUUACUCUGAAGGGCACUUUGGACUUCUUCUAGCCUGGAAGAAUAGCAUUACUAACAGUAUUGCAAGAAAAUAUA
Long non-coding RNA from Arvicola amphibius (Eurasian water vole), 676 nucleotides. RefSeq lists it as uncharacterized. The record is from RefSeq and is a predicted model, not a curated record. NCBI's taxonomy places the organism in Eukaryota, Metazoa, Chordata, Mammalia, Rodentia, Cricetidae. The transcript is spliced from 3 exons.